GGGGGUAUAGCUCAGUGGAAGAGCAUUCGACUGCCGAUUGGGAGGUCCCGGUUCAAACCCGGGUAUCUUCU
Molecule: transfer RNA, 71 nt
Filed under: Trichonephila inaurata madagascariensis
Lineage: Eukaryota; Metazoa; Arthropoda; Arachnida; Araneae; Nephilidae
Rfam family: tRNA
About the family: Transfer RNA (tRNA) molecules are approximately 80 nucleotides in length. Their secondary structure includes four short double-helical elements and three loops (D, anti-codon, and T loops). Further hydrogen bonds mediate the characteristic L-shaped molecular structure. tRNAs have two regions of fundamental functional importance: the anti-codon, which is responsible for specific mRNA codon recognition, and the 3' end, to which the tRNAs corresponding amino acid is attached (by aminoacyl-tRNA synthetases). tRNAs cope with the degeneracy of the genetic code in two manners: having more than one tRNA (with a specific anti-codon) for a particular amino acid; and 'wobble' base-pairing, i.e. permitting non-standard base-pairing at the 3rd anti-codon position.
Source: Rfam by way of RNAcentral